GGGGUUUUAACUCCCCAGUACGAAUGGGUAGCAUGCUUUGUACAAUUUGUAAACAACAUAAUUUCUGUAAAAUUUGACUUUUGCUAAAAUGCCAUCGCUGACUCCGCUCCAACCGAUGGGGGCCACGUCCGGAGUCUGCGGCUCAUUUGUCGCCGCGUCCUGCGGGUCUGGCUGUCCUGCCGACCCGCUGCCGUCUCUCCCCAGAGCUCUGCGCCCCCUGCCCAGGAGGAGAGGCCCGGCCCUGCACCCGCAGGCCUGGUCCGGCCACCCCCGCCCCUGGCCCGGAGCAAGCCCUACAUCUCCUGGCCCACCUCAGGCGGGGCGGAGCCCGGAGUGACCGUGCCUCUGAGGAGUAUGUCCGACCCGGACCAGGACUUCGACAAGGAGCCUGACUCAGAUUCCACCAAACACUCAACCCCCUCGAAUAGCUCCAACCCCAGUGGCCCGCCAAGCCCCAACUCGCCCCACAGGAGCCAGCUUCCCCUCGACAGCCUGGAGCAGCCCGCUGGCGACGCCUGAGGCCCCCUCACCCCGAGCAGUGCCAAGACUGAGCUGACAGUGUUGUCCGCAGAGAUGCAGUCAUCUGUAGAUACAAAACGAAUCUGUAUUAUAAUAAUGACCAGAUGGAUGGCACAUCCCAUGGCGUAGUCCAGAUCGCUCAUCUGCAUAGCUGUGAGGCGACACGUUCCGUUUGCACAUGAAGGACCACCGCACACCUCACCCGCACUGCCGGCAUGGCUCUGGGCCUCGCCUGUGCAGGACCUCAGCACCUGUCUCUCCCCUGUUCCUCGAAACCAUUCCCAAGCCCCUAGGAGAAUAACAGCAAGUUGUGUGCCCUCCCAGCAUCUCAAGACUCACGGACAGGGAGAGCGCAGGUUGGCUGUGGCAGCCGAGUUCACUUUCCCAUUGCACAGCCAGCUGCAGGUGCUGCUGCUGCUGCCUGGCUGUGGACAGAGCCCCAGGCCCAGUGGCACCACAUCCCUCGAGGGAGUCCAUGCUGGGUCACAGCAGAGCCAGCGUGUGUCAUGGAGCAGGCAGGCCACUCUGCCUGCUGGGAGAGAUGCCCAGAGUCUGGGGAGUGCACAGCAGUCAUGGGACCCCUUCCUGCCGCCCGCCCACCCCACCCCGCAUGGAGCCCAUUCCAACCGGGUGGAGACACCGGACACUUCCCCCUCAGUGGCCCGCGUGGCCGGGAUGCCCUUGUGUAUUUAAUCGCACCCUCUCGUGUCCCGUGUCGGGUCAGGUCUGUGGUCCCAUUGUAAAGGCUUGUGAUUGACUGGUGACAGACUCGGCUUGUCCCCAGCUAGCUGUUCAGGACCUGCACUUGGCUGAGUUCGACACUGAGGGCCACACCAUGGUCACGCCCAGCACCUGCUGCCCCACCCACCUUCCAGGCCUGUGUCGCCAAGGUCCCUGCUGGGGGUUCUGGUUUUUACUUUUCUAAUGUAAGUCUGAGUCUUUGUAAUUAUUGAAUUGUGAGAACAUUUUUGAACAAUUUAUCUGUCAAUAAAGCAGAAGAUGGCAGUUUUAAAGCUCUC
RNAcentral lists this long non-coding RNA (1538 nucleotides) under Heterocephalus glaber (naked mole-rat). RNAcentral's name for it is "lncRNA (ENSHGLG00100043092.1)". Lineage: Eukaryota; Metazoa; Chordata; Mammalia; Rodentia; Bathyergidae. The record is from RNAcentral.